CAUGUACUCCCUCCGUCUCAAAAUUAUUGUCUUAUAUUUGUUUAUAUAUGAAUGUAUCUAGUUAAGUUUUAGUAUUUAGAUAUAUCUAUUUCUAAAUAAAGUUAAGACAAAAAUUUUGGGACGGAGGAAGUACUUU
Non-coding RNA from Hordeum vulgare subsp. vulgare (domesticated barley), 136 nucleotides. The record is from Rfam. Lineage: Eukaryota; Viridiplantae; Streptophyta; Magnoliopsida; Poales; Poaceae.